Long non-coding RNA from Helianthus annuus (common sunflower), 470 nucleotides. RefSeq lists it as uncharacterized. Lineage: Eukaryota; Viridiplantae; Streptophyta; Magnoliopsida; Asterales; Asteraceae. The record is from RefSeq and is a predicted model, not a curated record. The transcript is spliced from 2 exons.
UUCAUCUUCUUCCUCAGGAAAUCAAAUCGCAUCUUCAAAAAUCCUAAAUCCACUAUCUUCCUCAUGAAAUCAAACUGCAGAUCAAAGGUUAUCGAAGGCUUUGUGGAAGAAAAAGGAAGAAUGUUUGACAAGCAAACUGAUGGUGAACGCAAAGAGGCCGCUGAGCCUUAUGUUCUUGAUCCGGCACACUUCAGAAAAAUGGUACAUCCUAGUUGGAUGGAAAAUGACAAAGAGAACUUUGAGUAUCCAUUGUAAAAGCCUAGAAAAUGACACGAAGAUUGUAGUUUGGAAAUCGAGUAUUCGCUGAGAAGAUGUGAUCAAGAAAGCAAUGGAGAUUGAGACAGACAAAAAAAAGACUAGAUAUUAUGGAUUAUGACUUAUUUCUAUGUUACCGUGGUUAGGGUAUAUCAAUGUUACGACUUUUGUUUUUAUGUAAUCAUGGUUACCGUAUGUCAAGGAUUAUAACUUGC